UAAUUGUUGAACAUGCAUGGCACUGAAGAUAUUAAUAUGAUAAUAGUAUGUUUUAUUGUUUAUAAAUAUGUAACCCCAGUUUUUAUUUCUAGAUUGUGGUAUGCCUGCUAACUCGCAGAUGAGAUUUCUGCUAAAGUAGACCUGAUUUUAAGGUUUAAUACAUAACCAACUUACUCUUUCUUCACCGAAGGUUUCACUAAUUUCGAAUGUGCUGCAACUAUGCUUAUUUGGGGGCAAGAUACAUUUUGUAUGUGAGGUGUUUAGCAGGUUGUGGUAUGCCUGUUAAGUGCAUAGAUGAGAUUUCUGCUAAAGUAGACAUGAUUUUAAGGUUUAAUACAUAACCAACUUACUCUUUCUUCACCGAAGGUUUCACUAAUUUCAAAUGUGCUGCAACUAUGCUUACUUGGGGACAGGAUACAUUUUGUGUGUGAGGUGUUUAGCAGGUAAUUGGGAUGUGUACUGUAUACAGUAUAUUGUUGAUGCUUGAUUUAUUUGCUUUUGUUAAUCCUCUUUUGAAUAUUUUUUUAUUUUGUUGUGUAAAAAAUAUAGGAAAGUUGGUGUGAUUUAAAUAUAGUUUUUAAAGAAAACGAGUUUCAUUCUUGGUGAUGAAAUAGCAUUGGCUAAAACAGACUUAUGGUUUGUAAUUGUUGAACAUGCAUGGCACUGAAGACAUUACUGAAGAAAGUUUUUCUUUUAUUCUUGUUUUAUGUAAAAAUGCAAUUAUUUUUUCAGGUGUUUCUGUGACUUUUUUUCUUGAAGACAAGUUACUUGCUGAAUAUAGCGUAUGUGUCAAGCAAGUUUACCUCGCACAAGCUUUAGCAAUUUUAAUACAGUACUGUUGUGUAUUUUGGCUUUACUUAGUUAUAUUAGUUUUAUUGGAUAUGUAUGACGUUUGCAUAGUUCAACUGAAUACAGUAUUUGGAUAAAUUUUUUUCAGAUUUUGCGGAAGAAAGUAGUGGAUGGAUGCUGAACACAAUUAAAUGUUGUAUAUGAUGCAGCUGCCUUAAAAGAUGCCCUAUUAUGAGCAGAGAUGGUCUAAUAUAACAGAUUUUGAGGAAGAAAGUAGUGGAAGGAUGCUGAACACAUAAUUAAAUAUACAUGAUGCAGCUGCCUUAAAAGAUGCCCUAUUAUGAGCAGAGAUGGUCUAAUAUAACCGAUUUUGCAGAAGAAAGUAGUGGAAGGAUGCUGAACACAUAAUUAAAUAUACAUGAUGCAGCUGCCUUAAAAGAUGCCCUAUUAUGAGCAGAGAUGGUCUAAUGUAACAGAUUUUGCGGAAGAAAGUAGUGGAUGGAUGCUGAACACAAUUAAAUGUUGUAUAUGAUGCAGCUGCCUUAAAAGAUGCCCUAUUAUGAGCAGAGAUGGUCUAAUAUAACAGAUUUUGAGGAAGAAAGUAGUGGUAGGAUGCUGAACACAUAAUUAAAUAUACAUGAUGCAGCUGCCUUAAAAGAUGCCCUAUUAUGAGCAGAGAUGGUCUAAUAUAACCGAUUUUGAGGAAGAAAGUAGUGGAAGGAUGCUGAACACAAUUAAAUGUUAUAUAUGAUGCAGCACAAUCACUGUCAGAAAGGGUCUGCUACAAGAGAAGGUGAGGAAGAAAGUAAUAGAAGGAUGCUGAACAGAAGAUCAAGUUUUAAGUUACGGAAACAGCCUUAACAACAUCAACCUAGCAAGGUCGACUUGUGAAAGAGACCGAGGGGCACUUGUAAGCCUGGACCUACGGCUUAGAAAACAGUGCGUUAAUGUUCGAAAUAAGGCAAACAGAGUAUUAGGUUUUAUAUCUAGAAGUGUAAGUAAUAAGAGUGCAGAGGUCUUAUUGCAACUAUAUCUUGCAUUAGUCAGGCCGCACCUCGAUUAUGCAGUUCAGUUCUGGUGCCCUUAUUAUAGAAUGGAUAUCAAUUCACUGGAGUCGGUGCAGCGAAGAAUGACGA
RNAcentral lists this long non-coding RNA (1925 nucleotides) under Homarus americanus (American lobster). RNAcentral's name for it is "uncharacterized LOC121879582, transcript variant X3". The record is from RNAcentral. Lineage: Eukaryota; Metazoa; Arthropoda; Malacostraca; Decapoda; Nephropidae.